GUGCCAGCAGCCGCGGUAAUACGUAGGGUGCGAGCGUUGUCCGGAAUUACUGGGCGUAAAGAGCUCGUAGGCGGUUUGUCGCGUCGUUCGUGAAAAUUCACAGCUUAACUGUGGACGUGCGGGCGAUACGGGCAGACUUGAGUGCUCCAGGGGAGACUGGAAUUCCUGGUGUAGCGGUGAAAUGCGCAGAUAUCAGGAGGAACACCGGUGGCGAAGGCGGGUCUCUGGGGAGUAACUGACGCUGAGGAGCGAAAGCGUGGGUAGCGAACAGGAUUAGAUACCCUGGUAGUCCACGCCGUAAACGGUGGGUACUAGGUGUGGGUUCCUUUUCACGGGAUCCGUGCCGUAGCUAACGCAUUAAGUACCCCGCCUGGGGAGUACGGCCGCAAGGCUAAAACUUAAAGGAAUUGACGG
RNAcentral lists this ribosomal RNA (414 nucleotides) under uncultured bacterium. RNAcentral's name for it is "bacterial SSU rRNA". It matches the Rfam family "Bacterial small subunit ribosomal RNA", at positions 505 to 916 of the family's 1533-position model. The record is from RNAcentral.